AGAACUGCAACUCAGACGUUAAUGGCUUCUGGAAUUAGAUUCAGUUCUCCUACUUUGGCUUCAGCUAUGGUUGAUAUUGUCCCUGCUUUUACCUUCAUACUUGCUAUAAUUUCAAGGUAUGUUAUUUUUAUUUUAUGGUUGAAAUUACAAGGUUUGUUGUUUUUUGGAUUAAAAUGCAAUUAAUUGCAUCAUAAAGUCAGCAACAAAGAAUACUCCUAUUUUAUACAAUUUUUUUGGAUUAUUAUUAUUGAUUAAUGGCGGUAUCCAGAUUAAUUAAAUUUAAGGAGAAAAAGUUAUAGUGGCUUUAUGCCUAUCUCUUUUAUAUUAGUUCCUCUAAUUUUUUCUCUUGAUAUAAAUUAAAAUACAAUAAAAUUAUCGAUAGGCUACUCUCUCGGUGGGUAGCAUGUCUUUUCUCGAUUGGUACUGAGUAGAGUUGUAUUGUACUCUUCUAUUAAUUUCUAGUUAAUUUUCUUGGUUGUGGGACAUCUUUUUUUAAAGUUGAAUUAAUUAACCUUUGCACUACUUUCUAGUUUCUUUGGCUGUGGCCUGUGGGACAUCUCUUCUUCAAUUCGGCAAGAAAUAUUUUCCCACCUUAGUUGACUUUUACUAAUGAGCUUUAUAAUAUUUGACACAAUAGAGUGAACAAAUAUUAUUUUAAAAAAAUAUUAUCUUUUCUUUCCCUCUCUUUGUUGGAGAUGAAUAUAGUUUCUACUAGAAAUAAUCAAAUUGAUUGAAAGAGGAAUGAGUAUUGAAAUAAGAUUUGGUAUUGAUUUGAUUAUUCACAAUGGAAAUUACUUGCUUAUCUAGUAAUGGCUUUGUCUAACAAACUAAAGCUGAAAUCUAUGAAAGUUACAUAGCAUACAUAACUAACUAAACAAAGCUAUUUACACUAUAUACACCUACGUUAAUAUUACUAAUCUUAACAUGCCUUCUUAAUGCAAAUUUUCAAAAGCUACAACUCCUAGUUCCUUUCUAAGCUCUAAAAACUGAACUAUUUGAUUGGCUUGGUCAGGAUAUCAAUAGUUUUAUGCAUUAAAAUUAAAGCCUUACAUCAAAUCACACACCAAUUCUAUGGAUCAUCUCCAUCAUAUCAACACCUUAAUCUUCAUCAAUCUCGUCAUCAUCAUCACUACUUCAUCACUUCGAUUUUCACCUUUAUUGUCUCUUUCUUAUUGGACGAAAUAGAGCUUUUAGGAAGACGACGACAAAUGAUGGUAACAAAAUGGAAACGAUUGAAACCAAGCAAAGUGCAUCAAAAUCGUGUGAAAACUUGUGAUUUUGUAGCGGUUUCAUUUGUUGCGAUCUUACAACGAUUUUUCAUGUUUUUCGAUUAUGCUAUGGAUUUGGAUCGAAGAGGAUGAGAAAAAUUGCAAAAUCCUACGAUUUUGAUAACAAUGGCCGCAUCAUAAUUUUUAGAUGGAUAAAUGUCACAAAGAACUAAAAUUGUAAGGACAUAAUCUAAAAACAAUAUAUUGCACUAAAAUCAUAUUUAACUCAUAUUAUAGGACCAAAAAUGUUCUUAACCCUAGUUUUUUUUGAAAAACAAUGGUUAAUAAAGGUCAGAAAUUAAGAACUCGUCUCCAUUCUCUUUUUUCUUAUAUAUAGAGAUAUAGUAAGUUUGCAUGAUGAAUUAAAAGUAUAACAGGUGAAUCGGUGAAGAAAGGCUAAAAUUUCUCUAUAUGGAAAAACAUUUUCAAAAUUUCAUUACUAUUAUUUAAUCCUUGCAAAUACAAGAAAAAAUAAACUAACAUGAAUACUGUGAUGUGCAUUUUCAGGAUGGAAGUUCUAAAUAUGAAAAAGCAUAGCAGCCAGGCAAAAGUUAUUGGCACAGUGGUCUCUAUUGCAGGGGCAUUAGUUGUGACAUUUUAUAAAGGGAUGCCAUUGAUAAAUGAUGCAAUUCAACAUAUAGAAAUUGGAGCAAGUGGAAUUUACCUAUUAGGGAAAUCAGAUUGGAUACUUGGUGCUUUUCUUCUUGCAGUUGCAUGUUUUUGUCUCUCUCUUUUGUUUAUUGUCCAGGUAAACAAACUAUUAAUAUUUGUGAUUGUCAUGUGAAGAGAACCAUAAGAAAAUGUGGCCGAUGCAGAUUUAAUUAUGGUUGUAAACACAUAAAAAAUAUUGAUUUCGUAGUCUAAUAUAAAGGUUUUAGAUGUCUCUGCAAGGACAUCACAACCAUAAUAGCUGUUGCAUUUGUUUGAAUGUUGCCACAAUACAAUGGUUCACAACAUAAUCACAAUGAGCUAUAAUAUAAUAUAUUCAAAUUUUAAUUCUACCUAUAUAUGCAGACUUGGAUUGUCAAGGAUUAUCCAGAAGAGCUAGUGAUAACAACCAUUUGUUGCUGUUUUGUGGUAAUCAUAUCUACCAUUGUAGCUCUCAUUGCAGAGGGAAAUUCAAAAGCUUGGAGACUCAGACCUGAUAAAGAGUUGCUAUCUGUGUGUUACUCAGUAAGUUUAAGCUUUAUUAUAAUUAUAAUUAGGCUUAAUUGCACUUUUGGCCACCUAUCUUUCUAAAAGUUGUGAUUUUGGCCCCCUAACUAAUUAAAAUACAAAACAACCCCUAUGUAUUGGAUCUUUGACAGUUUUGGCCCCAAGGCCACUUUUGAUUAGUCUUCGCUGACGUGUCACUCACAAUGGUCGACACGUGGCACCUUACUUAAGGGAUAUAGGUGUCAUGUCAGCGAAGACUAAGUCAAAAGUGGCCUUGGGGGCCAAAACUGCCAAAGAUCCAAUACAUAAGGGACUGUUUUGUAUUUUAAUUAGUUAGGGGGUCAAAAUCGCAACUUUUAGAAAGUUAGGGGUCAAAAGUGCAAUUAAGCCUAUAAUUAUUAUUAUUAUUAUUAUUAGGCUUAAAAAAUUAUUAUGAAAUUUUAAAACAUAUUAAAAAAGUUUGCAUCAUAAUUUUUUUACAUGAAAUGUAUUGUAACGUAAAAAUAUGUUUUUUUUGUUAAGUAGUUUAUUGACUGAGAAUUUACUUUUAUAAGAUGAAUAAAUGGGGUUUCGAGGGUUCGAACUUCAUCCCCUACAUAUAUUAUGUGUUGUUGUCCAUAUCAACCAAACAAAGCUCACGAGGACUGUGUUUUUAUAAUUAUCAUUUAGCUAACGUGGAUAUUUAAAUAUGUUCUUUUAGUUUCAGAAUUAUAAAUUGUAGCUGUCUAAAUUUUGGUCUUGUGAUUAUUCAUUUAAUAAAUUAUAGGCAGCAUUUGUGGUAUCAUUAAGGAAUGUUGUAAACACAUGGGCAUGUCGUAAGAAAGGACCAAUAUAUGUAGCUACCUUCAACCCUUUAAGAGUGGUCAUUGCACUUGGCAUGCGGGGUAAUAUUUUUGGGAGACAAUCUUUAUCUUGGAAGGUAUAUAUAAAGACCAAAAAUUUGUGAAAUAUAAUUUCAAGAUUGACUAAUUUUUUGUAAUUAAAAACUGGUUUAACCUAUUGGUGCAGCGUGAUUGGUGCUGCUAUCAUAGUUAUUGGAUUUUAUGCUGUGAUAUGGGCAAAGGCUCAAGAGGAACAGACAACAAGUGAAAAUAACUUUUUGUCAUCUUCUUCAACCCCUCUAUUGUCAAACAAAAGCAUCGAUAUCUAGGAUGAUGUAGACUCUACUUUUUUAAGGUGGUAGGUUAUACUAAACAUUAUGUUUGAUAAACGUAACUAUUGUGAGAGAAAUGUGUAUUGCACGAGAAUUGAAGCAAUGUAAUCAUUCAUGAACAAACUCUUACAAAUGGUUAUUUCUAUUCACUAAAGGGCAGAUUUUCUAUAAAUAAAUAUAUUUUGGAAGUAGAAAAUAAGUCCGAAAAAGAAGGUAGAACAUUACAUUUUUGUGAGUAUAAAUUCUACCGAAAAUAAUACUAAAUCAUUGUAUCUUUUCUUUAGUGAACAAGAGAAAUUAACAUGACUUUAUUCUCUAAACUAUCAUUCUAUCUUUUCUUUUCUUUAGUGCACAAGAGAUUUGCCAUUAUACCAUUUUGCAUCCAGUCGGCAUAACUGGUGGGGACGAAUCGAACCUCAAAGUUAGUGUGUCCCACACACGCUUUGAAAUUUAUGGGCACUCUUCAUCAUUGAUGACAGAGCAUCAUAUGAUAUUUUGACUAUGUUUUUAGUAUUUUUUAUUUGCAUUUAAAUACAAAUAAGAUGAGUUAAAGGAGUUGUCAGUGGUUUGAGGAACAUAUUGUAUUGUUUUCACUCGAGUCGUUGUAAUUCAGUUUUCUCCUAGAUCAUGCAAUUCCAUAGGUGUUUUGAGUGUUUUGCAGUGAGGAAUAAUGUAAAUCAUCAAAUCAAAACAUCUUGUGAAGAUUAAGAAUUGAAGAUUAAGGGUUCUUAUUAGAUAGGAAAAUUGUUGCUCAAUGCUUUGAUAGGAAAAUUGUAGUGGCUACCAUUAAUUAAUCAUGUCAUUUUAGAUUGUAAGGAACUUAUUAGAAAUCUAGAUGUAGUUAAAGUUGAGUAUAUUAGCAGAUUGUUAAAUGCUAAAGCUCAUAACCUUGAUGGAAUUGCUAGAGAUGUUGGAUCAAAGACAUGAGUGGGGAAUGCCCCUCCACAUGGUCAAAUUAGUUGUAACCUUGUUUCUGUUUUCUGUUAAAUGAACAAGUGGAAUUUCAAAAAAAAUAAAUAAAUAAAUUAGAAGUGAGGACAAACGAAUUGGAAAGCCAGAUAUUAUUAAAGUGAGAACAAAUUUGGUUUGAUUUGGGACGCACCUUUAACGGUUUGGGUAAUAUUUUCCAAAUUGUAAUAACAGUCAACUUGGUUUGAUUAUUUUCCUAAACCAAACUAUAAAUAGUCUUGGUUUUCUGGACUAAAAUAAAUAUAAAAAAAAAGUUUUGGUUCUUCUUUUUUAAGGAAAAAUAUAAAAAAAAAUAUUAUUCAUCAAAAAAGUUAUAGUUAUCGGAUAUUUUAUUAAAGAAAGUGUUAACGAGUGUUUCAAAGACUAUUUCCAUAUUAUUUUAAUAGGAAAUGUUAGCGAGUACUUUAAGGACACUCUUUAAAAGCUUUAAAUAAUAAUUUUUUAUGAAAAUUUGUGCAUUCAAUGAAUCGAAAAUUGAAGUAUUGGACUUUUUAAUGAAAAGUUUCUUAAGACAUUUAUUGACAAUACCUAUUUUUUUUUUUCAAUUCUUUUAAAUAGAUAAAAUGAUAAACAAUUAUUGAAGUUCGCAAAUAUAAGUAGAUGGGUCGGAAUUCUAACCUUGUUGCAUCGUCCGAUCUAUCAAUUUUAACGUUUCUAUCAUUGAGGCUAGAAUUGAGGACAAAGAAAGCCCGAUAUUUUUUUUUAUCUUAAACGAAGUGUCGAAUCUGGAUCACAACAUCUGACUUUGCAAUUUCGGCAUUUACCAGUUGAGCUAGGACUAAGCCCGAUAUUAUUAAAGUAAGAAGUGAGAACAAACAAAAAAAUCAGAUAGAGACAGAAAAAACAUUGUGACCAAAGGAGCAAGUGUAACAAACAACAACUAGUGUGAGACUGCCGUGCACGGAUUAACUUUCAUAAACUAAAUACAUUUUAAAUGAUGUAAAAUAUACAGACAAACAAUAUAAAAUUAAAAUUCACGAAAAUUUAUGAUAACAUUAAAUCAUUACGGUUCUUAAAAAAAAAAAAAAAAAUAAUCAGUAAAUUCAAUGGAAAUGGUUUGAUCACGGUGUCCCUAAAUCACAAUGGUUGUCUCUUUGACACACCAACUACUUUAAUCGAGCUUUUCCGACUCUCUGUCCUAGUUUUUUUACCAUAGCAUUAUUUCAACCAAAUCAUAUUCUAUACUAUAUGGUUACCUAAUAUUGGAAGAUUUUAUUGCUACAAAUAGAAUCAUGUUACAAAAAUAUAUUUUUCUAAUCUUUUUUUAGAGAAUAUUUUCCUCAUCCUUGUGGAGCACUUGUUGAGAUGCCUAUUCUAAAGUGAAGAUAUUUUAUAUUCUUCUUUUGAUAUUUUAUGAAAGUAAUUGAUUAUCAUCGUAAUUAAUAUUAAUUAAUUAGAUGAGCCGGGAUUUUGGACUUGAUAAGACAAGCAAAUUAUUGGAGGAAAUUAAAGCAAUAUAUUUUUUAUUCUUGUAAGUUGUGUUUGUUUCUAGUUAUAUUCAUAGAUUUUUGAAAUUAAAUGAUAGAAAUAUAAGCUAAAUUAUUUCACAGGUCUUUUAAGUUUUAUGUUUAUAAUAGAUUGAUCCUUUAAGUUAUUUUGAACACACAAAAAUCCUUUAAGUUUAAGGUUUGUAAUAGAAAAAAUGUUAUUGGAAAUAGAAAAAAUUCCAGAAAAAAAAGUGGGAAUAAAGUUCUCACGAAGAUAAGAAUAAAUUCAUUCCCAAAAAGAAUAAUCAUGUGUAACUAUAUAUUAUAACCUCUAUUUUUAAGAUUCUUGAGAAUAUAUAAUCUUAACCAAACAUUUUAUUUUUAUUUUUUUUAAAUACGUUGAAAUAAAAUUCACAAUCUUAGAAAUAUAUUUAGUAAACUUGAAACAAACACAUCAUAGAUAGAUGAAAUGAUAAAUAACCAUUGAACAUCACGCAUAUAAGUAAAUGAGCUAGGAUAUUAAUCCUAAUCACAUUGUCCGACCUAACAAUUUUGACAUUUUUAUUAGUCAAACUAAAGUUAAACUUGAGGACAAGAAAAGCAGAUAUUAUAAAAGUAAGACGUGAGAACAAGCAAAUUAGAGAAAAAAUGGCGAGUGGAGGAGCAAGUGUAACAACAACAAUGAUUGCAGCUCAAAUCGUUGAAGUGGGUGGUGAAACUCUAAUGAAAUCAGCCACUAAAGAUGGAAUGAGUAUUUUUAUUUUCAUUUUUUAUUCAAACCUUUUGGCUCUAUGUUUUCUUCUACCAUCCACUCUCUUCCACCAUAGAAAAAGAGCUCCUCCUCCAAUUUCAACAUCAAUUUUCUGUAGAUUACUUCUUCUUGGUUGCCUCAAGUAAGAACAAAAUAGUAUAUAUAUUAUUAUUAUUAUAAGGAUUUGAAUUUGGUAAAAUAGAGUGAUAUGGAGCUACUUGUGCAGAACUGCAACUCAGACGUUAAUGACUUCUGGAAUUAAAUUCAGUUCUCCUGCGUUGGCUUCAGCUAUUGUUAAUCUUGUCCCUGCUUUUACCUUCAUACUUGCUAUAAUUUCAAGGUAUGUUGUUUUUAUUUUAUGGUUUAAAUUACAAGGUUUGUUCUUUUUUUGGAUUAGAAUGCAUUUACUUGCAUCAUAAAGUCAGCAACAUAAAAUAUACUCUUUUUGUCUUUAAAAAACAAAAACUGUUUUAUUCAACUUUUUUUU
This 7210-nucleotide long non-coding RNA is filed under the name Medicago truncatula (barrel medic). RNAcentral describes it as "long non-coding RNA (MTRU_LNC003029)". The stretch from base 2545 to 2742 matches the Rfam family "MIR2619 microRNA precursor family". Lineage: Eukaryota; Viridiplantae; Streptophyta; Magnoliopsida; Fabales; Fabaceae. The record is from RNAcentral.